ACUCCUACGGGAGGCAGCAGUGGGGAAUAUUGCACAAUGGGCGCAAGUCUGAUGCAGCCAUGCCGCGUGUGUGAAGAAGGCCUUCGGGUUGUAAAGCACUUUCAGUUGUGAGGAAAGGUUAGUCGCUAAUAUCGGCUAGCUGUGAUCGUUGAGCAACAGAAGAAGCACCGGCUAACUCCGUGCCAGCAGCCGCGGUAAUACGGAGGGUGCGAGCGUUAAUCGGAAUUACUGGGCGUAAAGCGCGUGUAGGUGGCUUUGUUAAGCCAGAUGUGAAAGCCCCGGGGCUCAACCUGGACUGCAUUUUGGAAACUGGCAGGCUAGAGUUUUGUAGAGGGGUGGUAGAAUUUCAGGUGUAGCGGUGAAAUGCGUAGAGAUCUGAAGGAAUACCGGUGGCGAAGGCGACCCACCUGGCCAAUAACUGACACUGAGACGCGAAGGCGUGGGUAGCAAACGGGAUUAGAUACCCUGGUAGCUACGAGU
Molecule: ribosomal RNA, 480 nt
Filed under: uncultured bacterium
Lineage: Bacteria
Description: bacterial SSU rRNA
Rfam family: Bacterial small subunit ribosomal RNA
Source: RNAcentral